UCGUCUUUCUAAGUCUUUGUAAAACAAAGGUGUUUUGAGGUUGAUUUGAGGUAGUGCACAGAGAGUACUCAGGCUGGGAUCUCAAACUCGGUUAUUUCUGGAGCCAGGAUGCUGGUCUGAGCGGCGCGCAGCCGAUGGAGGUAUUUUUAAGUGCGUGUGAUCCUUGGGUUUCAAUGGCAAGGAAAAAGGAAACAUGUGGAUGGAAGACAGGACCACUGAUACUGAUUCUCCAGAUUUUGAGACAUGGCAUUCCAAGGUGUCCAUUUUGAGCAUUCAUCUACUACUGAUGAUGCAACUUGCCUGGUUGCUCCAGAAAAG
RNAcentral lists this long non-coding RNA (318 nucleotides) under Mus spicilegus (steppe mouse). RNAcentral describes it as "lncRNA (ENSMSIG00000015475.1)". The record is from RNAcentral. Lineage: Eukaryota; Metazoa; Chordata; Mammalia; Rodentia; Muridae.